Non-coding RNA from Picea glauca (white spruce), 121 nucleotides. Lineage: Eukaryota; Viridiplantae; Streptophyta; Pinopsida; Pinales; Pinaceae. The record is from Rfam.
UCAUGUAACUCCUAUAGUGUUAAUGCAAUGGAUCCCAUUAGAAGUCUAUAGUUGAGUGCACUUGGGCUAGAGUAGUAUCAAGAUAGGUGACCUCUCGGGAAGUCCUAGUCUUUUACAUGGC